RNAcentral lists this ribosomal RNA (305 nucleotides) under uncultured bacterium. RNAcentral's name for it is "bacterial SSU rRNA". It matches the Rfam family "Bacterial small subunit ribosomal RNA", at positions 338 to 658 of the family's 1533-position model. The record is from RNAcentral.
CCUACGGGGCGCAGCAGUGGGGAAUAUUGCACAAUGGGCGAAAGCCUGAUGCAGCAACGCCGCGUGAAGGAAGAAGGCCUUCGGGUCGUAAACUUCUGUCCUUGGGGAAGAAGAACUGACGGUACCCAAGGAGGAAGCCCCGGCUAACUACGUGCCAGCAGCCGCGGUAAUACGUAGGGGGCAAGCGUUAUCCGGAUUUACUGGGUGUAAAGGGGGCGCAGACGGCGAUGCAAGCCAGGAGUGAAAGCCCGGGGCCCAACCCCGGGACUGCUCUUGGAACUGCGUGGCUAGAGUGCAGGAGGGGG